RNAcentral lists this ribosomal RNA (497 nucleotides) under uncultured bacterium. Its description in RNAcentral is "partial 16S ribosomal RNA". It matches the Rfam family "Bacterial small subunit ribosomal RNA", at positions 28 to 507 of the family's 1533-position model. The record is from RNAcentral.
GAUGAACGCUGGCGGCGUGCCUAAUACAUGCAAGUCGAGCGAACAGACGAGGAGCUUGCUCCUCUGACGUUAGCGGCGGACGGGUGAGUAACACGUGGAUAACCUACCUAUAAGACUGGGAUAACUUCGGGAAACCGGAGCUAAUACCGGAUAAUAUAUUGAACCGCAUGGUUCAAUAGUGAAAGACGGCUUUUCUGUCACUUAUAGAUGGAUCCGCGCCGCAUUAGCUAGUUGGUAAGGUAACGGCUUACCAAGGCAACGAUGCGUAGCCGACCUGAGAGGGUGAUAGGCCACACGGGAGCGGAGACACGGUCCAGACGCCUGCGGGACGCAGCAGUAGGGAAUGUUACGCAAUGGGGGAAAGCCUGACGGAGCAACGCCGCGUGAGUGAUGAAGGUGUUCGGAUCGUAAAGCUCUGUUAUGAGGGAAGAACAAAUGUGUAAGUAACUAUGCACGUCUUGACGGUACCUGAUCAGAAAGCCACGGCUAACUACGUG